RNAcentral lists this ribosomal RNA (253 nucleotides) under uncultured bacterium. RNAcentral describes it as "partial 16S ribosomal RNA". It matches the Rfam family "Bacterial small subunit ribosomal RNA", at positions 524 to 776 of the family's 1533-position model. The record is from RNAcentral.
UACAGAGGAUGCAAGUGUUAUCCAGAAUGAUUGGGCGUAAAGCGUCUAUAGGUGGCUUUUUAAGUCCGCCGUCAAAUCCCAGGGCUCAACCCUGGACAGGCGGUGGAAACUACCAAGCUGGAGUAUGGUAGGGGUAGAGGGAAUUUUCGGUGGAGCAGUGAAAUGCGUAGAGAUCGUAAAGAACACCAACGGCGAAAGCACUCUGCUGGGCCGACACUGACACUGAGAGACGAAAGCUAGUGGAGCGAAUGGG